RNAcentral lists this ribosomal RNA (1493 nucleotides) under metagenome. RNAcentral's name for it is "bacterial SSU rRNA". It matches the Rfam family "Bacterial small subunit ribosomal RNA". The record is from RNAcentral.
GUUUGAUCAUGGCUCAGAUUGAACGCUGGCGGAAUGCUUUACACAUGCAAGUCGAACGGCAGCACGGACUUCGGUCUGGUGGCGAGUGGCGAACGGGUGAGUAAUGUAUCGGAACGUAUCCAAUAAUGGGGGAUAACUAAUCGAAAGGUUGGCUAAUACCGCAUACGCCCUACGGGGGAAAGCAGGGGAUCUUCGGACCUUGCGUUAAUGGAGCGGCCGAUAUCUGAUUAGCUAGUUGGUGAGGUAAAGGCUCACCAAGGCGACGAUCAGUAGCUGGUCUGAGAGGACGACCAGCCACACUGGAACUGAGACACGGUCCAGACUCCUACGGGAGGCAGCAGUGGGGAAUUUUGGACAAUGGGCGCAAGCCUGAUCCAGCCAUUCCGCGUGAGUGAAGAAGGCCUUCGGGUUGUAAAGCUCUUUCGCAAGGGAAGAAAACUUAGCCACUAACAUUGGCUGAGGUUGACGGUACCUUGAUAAGAAGCACCGGCUAACUACGUGCCAGCAGCCGCGGUAAUACGUAGGGUGCGAGCGUUAAUCGGAAUUACUGGGCGUAAAGCGUGCGCAGGCGGCUUUGUAAGUCAGAUGUGAAAUCCCCGAGCUCAACUUGGGAACUGCGUUUGAAACUACAAGGCUAGAAUAUGUCAGAGGGGGGUAGAAUUCCACGUGUAGCAGUGAAAUGCGUAGAGAUGUGGAGGAAUACCAAUGGCGAAGGCAGCCCCCUGGGAUAAUAUUGACGCUCAUGCACGAAAGCGUGGGGAGCAAACAGGAUUAGAUACCCUGGUAGUCCACGCCCUAAACGAUGUCUACUAGUUGUUGGUGGAGUAAAAUCCAUGAGUAACGCAGCUAACGCGUGAAGUAGACCGCCUGGGGAGUACGGUCGCAAGAUUAAAACUCAAAUGAAUUGACGGGGGCCCGCACAAGCGGUGGAUUAUGUGGAUUAAUUCGAUGCAGCGCGAAAAACCUUACCUGGCCUUGACAUGUACCGAAUUUGGGAGAGAUUCCUUAGUGCUCGAAAGAGAGCGGUAACACAGGUGCUGCAUGGCUGUCGUCAGCUCGUGUCGUGAGAUGUUGGGUUAAGUCCCGCGACGCGCGCAACCCUUGCCAUUAAUUGCCAUCAUUUAGUUGGGCACUUUAAUGGGACUGCCGGUGACAAACCGGAGGAAGGUGGGGAUGACGUCAAGUCCUCAUGGCCCUUAUGGCCAGGGCUUCACACGUAAUACAAUGGUCGGUACAGAGGGUUGCCAACCCGCGAGGGGGAGCCAAUCCCAGAAAGCCGAUCGUAGUCCGGAUUGUAGUCUGCAACUCGACUACAUGAAGUCGGAAUCGCUAGUAAUCGCGGAUCAGCAUGUCGCGGUGAAUACGUUCCCGGGCCUUGUACACACCGCCCGUCGCACCAUGGGAGUGGGUUUUACCAGAAGUAGGUAGUCUAACCGCAAGGGGGGCGCUUACCACGGUAGUAUUCAUGACUGGGGUGAAGUCGUAACAAGGUA